RNAcentral lists this ribosomal RNA (418 nucleotides) under Anaplasma phagocytophilum. RNAcentral describes it as "bacterial SSU rRNA". It matches the Rfam family "Bacterial small subunit ribosomal RNA", at positions 57 to 503 of the family's 1533-position model. The record is from RNAcentral. Lineage: Bacteria; Pseudomonadati; Pseudomonadota; Alphaproteobacteria; Rickettsiales; Anaplasmataceae.
GCAAGUCGAACGGGUUAUCUUUGUAGCUUGCUAUAGAAAUAAUUAGUGGAAAACGGGUGAGUAAUGCAUAGGAAUUUCUCUAGUAGUAUAGGAUAGCCACUAGAAAUGGUGGGUAAUACUGUAUAAUCCCUGCGGGGGAAAGAUUUAUCGCUACAUGAUGAGCCUAUGUUUGAUUACCUAGUUGGUAGGGUAAAGGCCUACCAAGGCGAUGAUCUAUAGCUGGUCUGAGAGGAUGAUCAGCCACACUGGAACUGAGAUACGGUCCAGACUCCUACGGGAGGCAGCAGUGGGGAAUAUUGGACAAUGGGCGCAAGCCUGAUCCAGCUAUGCCGCGUGAGUGAGGAGGGCCUUAGGGUUGUAAAACUCUUUCAGUAGGGAAGAUAAUGACGGUACCUACUGAAAAAGUCCCGGCAAACUC